GUAAAUGCAUGAGUUGGUGGAUGACCACCAUACCUCUUAAUAUUCCACCGUUGGAUUUUAUGUAACCUAUGCACUAAGUAUUUGUAAUUAGUACUUGUAACUUAUAGGUAUAUUGUAAAUGAUGGUAUUCAAUCUUCUAUCUUGUAAGCCUAUAAAUAGGUGGUUCUACCAAAGAUUAAGGAAGGAAAAAACAUGGUGAAGCUUUAUCUUUAGCAUAUCACUUCUCUCUACAUUUUC
Molecule: long non-coding RNA, 237 nt
Filed under: Prunus persica (peach)
Lineage: Eukaryota; Viridiplantae; Streptophyta; Magnoliopsida; Rosales; Rosaceae
Description: long non-coding RNA (PPER_LNC001173)
Source: RNAcentral